Non-coding RNA from Macaca mulatta (Rhesus monkey), 84 nucleotides. Lineage: Eukaryota; Metazoa; Chordata; Mammalia; Primates; Cercopithecidae. The record is from Rfam.
GCUCUUCCUCUCUAAUCCUUUGUCCCUGGGUGAGAGUGCUUUCUGAAUGCAGUGCACCCAGGCAAGGAUUCUGAGAGGGUGAGC